RNAcentral lists this unclassified non-coding RNA (615 nucleotides) under Feliciotis speciosa. Its description in RNAcentral is "Dissotis speciosa partial external transcribed spacer; ETS". Lineage: Eukaryota; Viridiplantae; Streptophyta; Magnoliopsida; Myrtales; Melastomataceae. The record is from RNAcentral.
GACUACUGGCAGGAUCAACCAGGUAGCUUUCACUUUUAGACCACAAUGCAUCCCAAGGACGAGCGCGGAACGGAAGGGCUCCGCGAGCUCCGAGGUAAGCACGGGGGUCGCCCGAGCGGAAGCAGAGCGCUUCGUUCGACACGUAGGGAUCGCACGGCCAACAAAGGACCGCCCGAUUACAAGAGUUAUCACCGCACCCGAGAGCAUGCAGACGGCAUCGACGCACCGACGCGGACGGUAACGCCCAGGAGAUGGACGGCCGACCGGUAGGAGAGCGCCGACGCCCGCACGAUGCCUCCCAACGCACAGGAUGCGGAGGAGAGGCGAGGGAACCGAGACAGGGACGACUACAGGCCCGUGUACCGCAAUCGGGUAACUAACGCAGGAACCCACCCAUCGCCCGCGACCGAAACUCGGGGCGGGCGAUCAAAUGAAACGGAUGUGGCCACAGCAGUUCGGUGCCCGAAGCACGGAGCCUGCCGCGGGUACAUAUCCCGUUUGCCACUCAUGCGUCGUCCCAACGCUGCCCGGGGAACGCCCGACGACCCAACGCCGCCACCCGGAGGGGAGGAGGCACGGGACGGACGCGACGCAACACGAGCAAGCCCUGCUAGA